This 4120-nucleotide unclassified non-coding RNA is filed under the name Hevea brasiliensis (rubber tree). Lineage: Eukaryota; Viridiplantae; Streptophyta; Magnoliopsida; Malpighiales; Euphorbiaceae. The record is from RNAcentral.
AAUUAAGAACAAGUAUGGAAAGCUAUUUGAAUGAAAAUUUUGGAGAUGUGAAGCCGAAGCACUCUUCGGAGGAAGUGCUGAAGCGAUGGAGGAGCCUUUGUGGUGUUGUCAAGAACCCUAAACGUCGGUUUCGUUUCACUGCUAAUCUAUCCAAGCGUUAUGAGGCUGCUGCAAUGCGACGUACUAAUCAUGAGAAACUAAGGGUAGCAGUUCUGGUUUCAAAGGCUGCAUUUCAGUUUAUACAAGGCAUGCAACCAAGUGAUUACAGUGUACCAAAGGAAGUUGAAGGCGCCGGUUUUCAAAUUGACGCUGACGAGCUAGCAUCUGUUGUUGAAAGCCAUGAUCUGAAAAAAGUCAAAUUUCAUGGAGGAGUGGAUGGGAUUGCAAAUAAGCUGUCCACGUCAAGUACCGAUGGGAUUUCUACUGAUAAUGAAACUGCCCUAACUCGCAGACAGGAACUUUUUGGAAUUAACAAAUUCCAAGAAAGUGAAGCUCGGAGCUUUUGGUUGUUUGUCUGGGAAGCUCUUCAAGACAUGACUCUUAUGAUCCUUGGUGCAUGUGCUUUUGUUUCUCUGAUUGUUGGCAUUGUAAUGGAGGGAUGGCCUGUGGGGGCCCAUGAUGGUCUUGGUAUUGUAGCUAGUAUUUUGCUGGUGGUCUUUGUUACAGCAACAAGUGAUUAUCGCCAAUCCUUGCAGUUCAGAGACCUUGACAAAGAGAAGAAAAAGAUAUCUAUCCAGGUUACUAGGAAUGGAUACAGACAAAAGAUGUCCAUUUAUGAUCUAGUUCCUGGUGACAUAGUUCAUCUUGCAAUAGGAGAUCAAGUCCCUGCAGAUGGACUCUUUCUUUCAGGAUUUUCUGUUUUAAUUGAUGAAUCCAGCUUGACGGGAGAAAGUGAGCCAGUAAUGGUCAAUGCUCAAAAUCCAUUUCUUCUUUCUGGAACUAAGGUCCAAGAUGGUUCUUGCAAGAUGUUGGUUACAACAGUUGGGAUGAGGACUCAGUGGGGAAAACUGAUAGCAACACUCAGUGAAGGCGGAGAUGAUGAAACUCCAUUACAGGUUAAACUGAAUGGAGUGGCAACAAUCAUUGGAAAGAUAGGCCUUUUCUUUGCUGUAGUGACUUUUGCUGUACUCUUGCAAAAAAUGUUCGGCCGAAAACUGCUAGAGGGGUCCCACUGGAGCUGGUCUGGGGAAGAAGCUAGGGAAGUCUUGGAAUACUUUGCCAUUGCAGUUACCAUUGUGGUUGUUGCAGUUCCUGAGGGACUUCCCUUGGCUGUGACCUUAAGCCUUGCUUUUGCCAUGAAAAAGAUGAUGAAUGAUAAGGCACUUGUUCGUCAUCUGGCUGCUUGCGAGACAAUGGGGUCUGCCACAACUAUCUGUAGUGACAAAACUGGAACACUAACAACUAACCACAUGACCGUUGUAAAAGCAUGCAUCUGUGGGGAAAUCAAGGAAGUGAACAGCUCCAAGAGUACUCUUAAUUUUGGUCCUGCAGUUCCUGAUUCUGCUAUGAGAAUUCUAUUUGAGUCAAUAUUUAAUAACACUGGAGGAGAAGUUGUUAUUAACAAAGAGAACAAAAUUGAGAUUCUAGGAUCACCCACUGAAACUGCUCUUUUAGAGUUGGGGUUGUUACUGGGAGGAAAUUUCAAAGAAGAAAGAGAAAAAUCAAAAAUUGUGAAAGUUGAACCAUUCAACUCUGCAAAGAAGAGAAUGGGUGUAGUUUUAGAGCUUCCUGAUGGAGGUUUUCGGGCACACUGCAAGGGUGCCUCUGAAAUAAUUUUAGCUGCAUGUGACAAAUUUAUAGACACAAAUGGUGAGGUUGUUCCCCUUGAUGAAACAACCAUCAAUCAUUUAAAGAAUACGAUUGAACAAUUUGCCAGUGAAGCUCUUCGAACUCUUUGCCUUGCUUACAUAGAAAUUGGAAGUGAAUUCUCUGCUGAAAGCCAUAUUCCUUUCAAAGGGUACACUUGCAUAGGUAUUGUAGGCAUCAAAGAUCCAGUGCGCCCUGGCGUCAAGGAGUCUGUUGCAAUUUGCAAAUCAGCUGGAAUUGUUGUUCGAAUGGUCACUGGAGACAACAUAACCACUGCAAAGGCUAUUGCUAGAGAAUGUGGAAUUUUAACGGAUAAGGGCAUAGCAAUUGAAGGACCAGAAUUUCGGGAGAAAAGUGAGGAGGAGUUGCUUGAACUGAUUCCAAGAAUUCAGGUAAUGGCCCGAUCUUCACCAUUGGAUAAACAUACCCUUGUGAAGCACUUGCGAACAAAAUUUGGAGAGGUUGUUGCAGUGACCGGUGAUGGUACAAAUGAUGCUCCGGCUCUUCAUGAAGCCGACAUUGGGUUAGCAAUGGGCAUUGCUGGAACUGAGGUGGCUAAGGAAAGUGCUGAUGUCAUAAUUCUGGAUGACAACUUCUCCACAAUUGUGACUGUGGCAAAAUGGGGACGUUCAGUUUAUGUUAACAUUCAAAAAUUUGUUCAGUUUCAACUGACAGUCAAUGUGGUUGCCCUGAUUGUCAACUUUUCUUCAGCCUGUUUGACAGGUAAUGCUCCCCUAACUGCUGUUCAACUUCUCUGGGUCAAUAUGAUCAUGGAUACUCUAGGAGCACUAGCACUAGCCACAGAGCCUCCUAAUGAUGACCUGAUGAAGAGAUCACCAGUUGGUAGGAAGGGAAACUUCAUCAGUAAUGUAAUGUGGAGAAAUAUUUUGGGGCAGUCUAUUUAUCAGUUUGUGAUGAUAUGGUACCUUCAGACGAGAGGAAAAUCAAUUUUUCAUCUUGAUGGCCCAAAUUCUGACUUAGUACUAAACACACUCAUAUUUAACACAUUUGUCUUUUGUCAGGUUUUCAAUGAGAUCAGCUCCCGAGAGAUGGAAAAGAUAAAUGUCUUCAAAGGCAUACUGAAGAACUAUGUGUUUGUGGCUGUACUCACUUGCACUGUCCUCUUCCAAAUUGUAAUUGUUCAGCUCCUAAGUACAUUUGCAAGCACAUAUCCUCUCAGUUGGCAGCAGUGGUUUGUUACCGUUUUCCUUGGAUUCAUUGGCAUGCCAAUUGCAGCUGCCUUGAAGAUGGUACCAAUGGGAUCAAACUGAUACCUGAGUAAAUGGGCUAGCUGUAGCAUCUAUGGAGCUGUAGAAUUUUUUUCACACAGUAAAAGUUUGAAAGGCUAGCAAAAAUUGAGGCCAAAGAUGAUUUUGACUGCUCACAAAUGCUGUUGAUUAGAAGCACGAAAUCUGAUCUACAUGGCAAACUUGGUCUAAAAUUUGUUCCUAACUAGUAAAGCUUCCUGGAGGGUUACUGUUAUAUGGAUUUAUAAACUGAACCUUAUGAUGAUCUGAGAGUUUUGUUCUUAUUUGCUCUUCCAGUUUAAACAAAAUUCCAAACCAUUCCCACCCCCGCCUCCAUCCCUGAAUAUCCAGCAUCGUUCAGGCCAAAAUAGAUAACAUAAAAUAAAGAAGAUCAUGUCAUUGUCAUUUAGUCAAAUAUAGAUGGUUGGAUAGGAGAGUUGAGUAGUGAAUCGUCAAAGUUUUUUAGUUUCUCAGACGUGCAUUGUAAUACUCCCUUGUCUCUGCGUCCCAUCGUAGGGUUGAUGGCAACCUCCAAAUUCUGCUGAAAGGCCCUCAGAAAAGGUUACGAGAUUUUGUGGAGGCCUAAUAUAUAUGACUAAUGUUCAACUUCAUCUGACAAGUUUGUUCAAUUGAAUCUUCUGACUGGCAGAAGAAAGGAGGACUUGGUGGCAUUCUCUUGAGAAUGAAUGAGAGGAGCUGUUUUUUUUCUUCUUUGGUUGGUGUUGCCUCAAAUACUCACAACAGUCGAUGUAGAGCAAAUUUUAGUGUAUAGAAUUCCAGAUUGGGAUUAUUGGAUGUUUAAGCUUGAAUUUAUUUGAUUAGUGGAGCUUGUCAUUUUCUGCUUCACUAGUAUCUUUACUCGUGAGGUACAGUUGUUCCAGCUUCUUAUUGCAAGGACAUGUAGUAACUCUUCCCUACCCAAAAUCGUAGAUGUUGGUGAGGAAGAAAGAAAUGAUUGGUAGAAGUUGCUAGGUGUAAGCGUGAAAUUGAUUCACUUGAAUGACCCUAUCUUAGAAAGGUUAAAGCAUUCUGUUAUUCUUUUACGGCCAUAAUUGAAUCACUUGAAU